CAGCAGCCGCGGUAAAACGAAGGGUGCAAGCGUUAAUCGGAAUUACUGGGCGUAAAGCGUGCGUAGGCGGUUUGUUAAGUCUGUUGUGAAAUCCCCGGGCUCAACCUGGGAAUGGCAAUGGAUACUGGCAAGCUAGAGUGUGUCAGAGGAUGGUGGAAUUCCCGGUGUAGCGGUGAAAUGCGUAGAGAUCGGGAGGAACAUCAGUGGCGAAGGCGGCCAUCUGGGACAACACUGACGCUGAGGCACGGAAGCGUGGGGAGCAAACAGGAUUAGAUACCCGAGUAGUCCCUGUCUCUUAUAC
This 301-nucleotide ribosomal RNA is filed under the name uncultured bacterium. RNAcentral describes it as "partial 16S ribosomal RNA". It matches the Rfam family "Bacterial small subunit ribosomal RNA", at positions 509 to 807 of the family's 1533-position model. The record is from RNAcentral.